This 899-nucleotide ribosomal RNA is filed under the name uncultured archaeon. RNAcentral's name for it is "bacterial SSU rRNA". It matches the Rfam family "Archaeal small subunit ribosomal RNA", at positions 85 to 879 of the family's 1478-position model. The record is from RNAcentral.
ACGGCUCAGUAACACGUUGUUAACUUGCCUUUAGGUCCGUGAUAGCCUUGGGAAACUGAGGGUAAUAACGGAUGUGGGAAUUGUUCUGGAAAUGAUUUUUCCUUCAAAGUUUCGGCGCCUAAAGAUAGGACAGCGGCGGACUAGGUUGUUGGCGGGGUAAUGGCCCACCAAGCUUAUGAUCCGUACGGGCCUGUGAGAGCGGUAGCCCGGAGAGGGACACUGAGAAACUGGUCCCAGCCCUACGGGGUGCAGCAGGCGCCGAAACCUUUACAAUGCACGAAAGUGUGAUAAGGGAACCCCAAGUGCUCAAGUAUAACUUGGGCUUUUGCCAAGUGUAAAGAGCUUGGCGAAUAAGUGGUGGGUAAGACUGGUGCCAGCAGCCGCGGUAACACCAGCGCCACGAGUAGGAACCAGCUUUAUUUGCCUAAAGCGUCGGAGCUGGUCUAGAAAAUCUUUUGUAAAUCAUCGGGCUCAACCUGAUGGCGUGCAGAAGACACUACUAGACUCGAGACCGGGAGGAGUUAGAGGUAUUCUGAGGGGAGCGGUAAAAUGCUAUAAUCCUCAGAGGACCACCUGUGGCGAAGGCGUCUAACUAGAACGGUUCUGACAGUGAGGGACGAAAGCUAGGGGAGCGAUCCGGAUUAGAUUCUAAAAAUUAUCCUGAGAUUUGAAAGUAAGUCAGAAUUGCAUCGUUUGCAAUCUACUAAAUUCUGAAUGAGAUCAAAUUUUGUUAAAUGUUGAUUUUUAGCUAAUUACCCGAGUAGUCCUAGCCGUAAACGCUGCGAGCAAGGCGUUGCAUGUUCUACGUGAAUAUGCAGUGUCGAAACGAAGGUGUUAAGCUCGCCGCCUGGGAAGUAUGGUCGCAAGACUGAAACUUAAAGGAAUUGGCGGGGGAGCAC